CUCGGCCCGCCGCACGGUUGAUUCUUGGAGACGAUCGUGGUCAUUUUGGAUCGAAUCUUGUUGUUCCUUUUGUAAUGAGUUUGUGUCAUGGUUCUUUCCUGCGAGUUACAGGUGGAUUGGGACCAAGUGAUGCAUCUUAGAUGGCCACUCACAAGCUUUUAAGACCCCAGAUGCCACUCACCAAGGCAACUUUAUAAACAGAAUUUGCCUAUUCCACAAGGAAAAAACAGUGGAAGUCAUAGAAGAGAGACGGCAAAUCCAUUUUCAGAAUCAAUGAAGACAUUUCUGGAGGAUAAGACUGUACAAUCCUGACACAUCAGGAAGCCUAAUCAGUUUCACAAAAAUGCCAGAAAAAUACGUAACAACUGAAGGCACGACCAGACUCAAAAACAAAGACUGUGAAUGAGAUUAAAGCCAUGGGCCUACUAAGCACCAGCCCUGAAGUAGGAAUUCGACCGUAUAGGGUAAUGAAGUCUAAAAUUUUACUACUCAAAACGAAGGAUCAGAGCAAGUCUAUUUCAAGCCAGAGCCUGGGGUGAGGACAUCCCCGCUCCUGAAAGAAUGCUGAGGAAAAAAACUGCUGCCAACCUGCUGCCUGGGAUUACAACCUUACAGAAAACUGUGGACUUAAGUAGAAAGGAGAAUGAGGCUCUCAGCCAAGGAUGUGAAGCACUGAAAACGUCUAUACACUGCUGAGCCCUGGUAGCAUGAUGGUUAAUUGCUCUGCUGCUAACUAGGAAAGAUACCAAAUUCUGGAGUGAUUACCUCUGAAAACAGAAAAUAGGAAAUAAGUUUGCAGAGAGGUAUACAAGGGGCUCCAAAUGUAUCUAGAAUGUUUUAGAAGUAUAAUCUGAGUGAACGGCUGGGAAAAUAGUACAAUUUUAUACAGCCAGACAAUGGGUACGUGAGAUGUUUAAUAUUAACUGUAAAUAUUUCAUAGUAAAAAAGUUGAGUUAGCAUAGCAGUCACUUACCAUGUUCCUCCACAUCUUCUUCAAAUAUAACACAGGUCCCAAGAGUAUCUGCAGAGAAAUUUGAAGGCAACUUGUUCAGAAAUAACAAAGCUGCAUUCUCUGAAAGGCAUAUUAAAAAAAAAGUUAUCUAUGACACCAGCCUACCUUCAUA
This is a long non-coding RNA of Loxodonta africana (African savanna elephant), 1124 nucleotides long. RefSeq lists it as uncharacterized. The transcript has 6 exons. The record is from RefSeq and is a predicted model, not a curated record. NCBI's taxonomy places the organism in Eukaryota, Metazoa, Chordata, Mammalia, Proboscidea, Elephantidae.